This 1218-nucleotide long non-coding RNA is filed under the name Monodelphis domestica (gray short-tailed opossum). RNAcentral describes it as "lncRNA (ENSMODG00000044134.1)". The record is from RNAcentral. Lineage: Eukaryota; Metazoa; Chordata; Mammalia; Didelphimorphia; Didelphidae.
GAUUUUAAGAUGGAAGAGAAGGGGUUAACUAAAGGCAUAACGGAAAGUGCUCACCCUGUCACCUCGCAGCGAGUGGGUGCUCGUCCGACAAGUUAUUGUGGUGGUGGUGGGGGUGGAGGAGGAGGAGGAGGAGGAGGAGGAGGAGGAAGGGCCUUCUCCCCUGGGCUGCCAUUUCUGCAGCCCCUCCAGGCCCCACAAGAGCACCCCUCAUAAAGGCUGGAGAUGCACAAAGGCCCGACAGUCCUGACAGCUGCAGAGGGACGAGACGCCGGAGAAACAGGCAGGGCUCCCAGCCCAGCCUCAAACAAGUCUGGGCCCGGACCGUGUUUGUUGGCUGGCAAAGGCCCUGGAGCACUGCACCGUCCUGGCCAGCCGAGGAUGCAGAGCCAACGCCAACCGGCACCCUCCGGGCUCAGAGCCCUCCCGCAGGGCCUGACAGGUCGGCUCCGGUCAGUGUAGACGUCUCCUCCUCUCCUGGGUUUGACCUUGUAGGGCAGAAGAGUCAGGCCUGCUGCGGCCGGCCAGGACACCAAGACACCGUGUGGGCCAAAGCCGAGGACCCUGCCGAGGCAGCCGCACAGCCAGGCUCCAAAGUCCAGGCUUUUUCAGUCAGAAAAAAAGAAGGAAACUAUUGUGUAGACACGGCUGCGUGUCAUAGAAAACAAGGCAGCUCUUACAGGCAUCUAUGUGUGUCCUGGGCGCGUUUGCCUGUGAAAAAGCCCCCCAGACACAGUGCUGGCUUUGAUAUUAGCUAGUGACGAUCAUCUGAAGGGUUGGAAAACAGAAAUCAUAAAAAGAGAAUAGUGUCUGCAAGGAGGCAGCGAUGUUUGCAGCCCUCCUCGCUCACUUGCUCUCUGCCCUCCCUCCCUCCUUCUCUUGGCCCUUUUCUCUUUUUUCUCCCUCUUUCUCUUUCUCUUCCCCUCUGUCUCUCUUCUCUAGCUCUCAAUCUCUCUUUCCCACUCCUUCCAUCUCCUUCUCUGUCUGUCUCUCUCUCCCUCCUUCUCCCUCUCUUCCCCUCUGUCUCUCUUCUCUAGCUCUCAAUCUCUUUCUCUCCCCCCCCCAUAUCUGUCUCUUUCUCUCUCUGUGUGUCUGUCUCCCUCCUUUUCCCUCUCUUCCCCUCUCUUCUCUAGCUCUCAAUUUCUCUCUCUGUCUCUCUCGAUGUUUCUGCUUUCUCUAAGUCUCUCUGUCUCUCCCUCUCUCUCUCUCUCUCACUGUCUC